RNAcentral lists this ribosomal RNA (216 nucleotides) under Glomeromycotina sp. RNAcentral describes it as "partial small subunit ribosomal RNA". The stretch from base 40 to 216 matches the Rfam family "Eukaryotic small subunit ribosomal RNA", at positions 686 to 864 of the family's 1831-position model. The record is from RNAcentral. Lineage: Eukaryota; Fungi; Glomeromycota.
GGGUCAGUAGGUUGGUCGUGCCACCGGUACGUACUGGUCUCACUGAUUCCUCCUUCCUGAAGAACCGUAAUGCCAUUAAUGUGGUGUUGCGGGGAAACAGGACUGUUACUUUGAAAAAAUUAGAGUGUUUAAAGCAAGCUAACGCUUGAAUGCAUUAGCAUGGAAUAAUGAAAUAGGACGAUCGAUCCUAUUUUGUUGGUUUCUAGGAUUGACGUA